AGCAAAAAAUUAAUUAAAAUAUUUUAGCAAUACAAAAAAAUUAAUUGUGGAUAAUGAUUGUGUUUUGAUGUAUUGAAGCAUAUUUUUUGCACUGGAAAAUACAGAGGCAGGGUUGUUAAUACUACCCCUUGUGGAAUUUUAUGGUGUGAAAACAAUAUUACGCUACAUAUGGCAAUUCCAACUGGAGAUCUAUUUUGGUUAGAUCGGGCUUUGAUAUUAAAUACUAUUAGUAUAUUUGUAUUUCAAAUGAAUAGUUUGCUGACUGUUAACACGGCAAAACGUGCUCCGCGGAAUUGGCACAAGCAUUGGACAAAAAAUUUUAAAUAAAAAAUAUUAAUUAUAAAAAAAAUUAUUACAUAAAUAAAAACAAAAGCUAAUUAAAUAAAGAGAUAAUGUGCAAAAAAAUAAUUUUAACAAUUUUAUUAAUAAAUUUUCUGACAGUCUGCAAUGUAAGUGCGUUCCCGAAUAAUUUAUCGAAAGGUAAGGCGCGUGACAUCAAUGAUGAUUUGGAAGUUAAUCCUGAUGGAGAAAAUCCAACGCCCAUCAUUGGCAUAUUGACACAAGAAGUGAGCAACUUAAUUCUACGUAAAUAUCCGGGUCAAAAUUAUUCGAGUUACAUUGCAGCUUCUUAUGUGAAAUUUGUGGAAGGUGCCGGAGGCCGUGUUGUGCCG
Molecule: long non-coding RNA, 671 nt
Organism: Teleopsis dalmanni
Lineage: Eukaryota; Metazoa; Arthropoda; Insecta; Diptera; Diopsidae
Exons: 3
Source: RefSeq, a predicted model, not a curated record